RNAcentral lists this ribosomal RNA (746 nucleotides) under uncultured bacterium. RNAcentral's name for it is "bacterial SSU rRNA". It matches the Rfam family "Bacterial small subunit ribosomal RNA", at positions 57 to 800 of the family's 1533-position model. The record is from RNAcentral.
GCAGUCGAGCGGCAGCGCGGGGCAACCUGGCGGCGAGCGGCGNNNCGGGUGAGUAAUGCAUCGGAACGUACCCAUUUGUGGGGGAUAACUAUCCGAAAGGAUAGCUAAUACCGCAUAAGUCCUGAGGGAGAAAGCAGGGGAUCGCAAGACCUUGCGCGAAUGGAGCGGCCGAUGCCGGAUUAGCUAGUUGGUAGGGUAAAGGCCUACCAAGGCGACGAUCCGUAGCUGGUCUGAGAGGAUGAUCAGCCACACUGGAACUGAGACACGGUCCAGACUCCUACGGGAGGCAGCAGUGGGGAAUUUUGGACAAUGGGGGCAACCCUGAUCCAGCCAUUCCGCGUGAGUGAAGAAGGCCUUCGGGUUGUAAAGCUCUUUCGGCAGGAACGAAACGGUGGGGGCUAAUACCCUCCGCUAAUGACGGUACCUGAAGAAGAAGCACCGGCUAACUACGUGCCAGCAGCCGCGGUAAUACGUAGGGUGCGAGCGUUAAUCGGAAUUACUGGGCGUAAAGCGUGCGCAGGCGGUUCUAUAAGACAGAUGUGAAAUCCCCGGGCUUAACCUGGGAACUGCGUUUGUGACUGUAGGACUUGAGUGUGGCAGAGGGGGGUGGAAUUCCACGUGUAGCAGUGAAAUGCGUAGAGGUGUGGAGGAACACCGAUGGCGAAGGCAGCCCCCUGGGUCAACACUGACGCUCAUGCACGAAAGCGUGGGUAGCAAACAGGAUUAGAUACCCUGGUAGUCNACGC